This 292-nucleotide ribosomal RNA is filed under the name uncultured bacterium. RNAcentral's name for it is "partial 16S ribosomal RNA". It matches the Rfam family "Bacterial small subunit ribosomal RNA", at positions 505 to 796 of the family's 1533-position model. The record is from RNAcentral.
GUGUCAGCCGCCGCGGUAAUACGUAGGUGACAAGCGUUAUCCGGAAUUACUGGGCGUAAAGCGCACGCAGGCGGCGCACUAAGUCUGACGUGAAAUCUCUCGGCUUAACCGGGAGGGGUCGUUGGAGACUGGUGGGCUUGAGGCGAUGAGAGGGGUGUAGAAUUCCCGGUGUAGUGGUGGAAUGCGUAGAUAUCGGGAGGAAUACCAGUGGCGAAAGCGGCACCCUGGCAUUAGCCUGACGCUCAUGUGCGAAAGCGUGGGGAGCGAACGGGAUUAGAUACCCGAGUAGUCC